CUGGUCAUGGUGGCGGCCAGCUGCCCCUAGCAGGGGGAGGCUGAGGAAGGGACGGAGGGAGCAGUGCCCAUGCCUUCUGUAGGCAGCACACCUGUUAAAGUGGUGCCACCCCGUGACCGCCUGCUUCCAUGACUCAGUCUGGCUUUGUCACCGCUUUAUCUUGUUCUCCACACCGUCCUCAAAAGUCAGCCGACGAGGAAGCCCUUGUGGAGGAUGUGCUCAGGAGACUGGCGUCCCGCCACCCUGUGCGCCCAGAGGUGGGGCCCCAGGCUUGAAGACACGGCUCGCCAUGGCGUCUGCCGGGUGUGGACCAAGCCAGGUGACUCCCUCCCUGCCCUGGACGCACGCUUGCUGGAAUGUCAUCCAUCAGCUCCUGGAAGUGAGCAAGCCC
This 391-nucleotide long non-coding RNA is filed under the name Mustela putorius furo (domestic ferret). Its description in RNAcentral is "lncRNA (ENSMPUG00000028334.1)". The record is from RNAcentral. Lineage: Eukaryota; Metazoa; Chordata; Mammalia; Carnivora; Mustelidae.